UAAUACCGGAUAACACAUAUCUUCGCAUGAGGAUAUGUUAGAAGGUGGCUUUUAGCUACCACUCAAGGAUGGGCCCGCGGCGCAUUAGCUAGUUGGUGAGGUAACGGCUCACCAAGGCRACGAUGCGUAGCCGACCUGAGAGGGUGAUCGGCCACACUGGGACUGAGACACGGCCCAGACUCCUACGGGAGGCAGCAGUAGGGAAUCUUCCGCAAUGGACGAAAGUCUGACGGAGCAACGCCGCGUGAGUGAUGAAGGUUUUCGGAUCGUAAAGCUCUGUUGUUAGGGAAGAACAAGUAYCUGUURAAUAAGCAGGUACCUUGACGGUACCUAACCAGAAAGCCACGGCUAACUACGUGCCAGCAGCCGCGGUAAUACGUAGGUGGCAAGCGUUGUCCGGAAUUAUUGGGCGUAAAGCGCGCGCAGGCGGUUCCUUAAGUCUGAUGUGAAAGCCCACGGCUCAACCGUGGAGGGUCAUUGGAAACUGGGGAACUUGAGUGCAGAAGAGGAGAGCGGAAUUCCACGUGUAGCGGUGAAAUGCGUAGAGAUGUGGAGGAACACCAGUGGCGAAGGCGGCUCUCUGGUCUGUAACUGACGCUGAGGCGCGAAAGCGUGGGGAGCGAACAGGAUUAGAUACCCUGGUAGUCCACGCCGUAAACGAUGAGUGCUAAGUGUUAGAGGGUUU
Molecule: ribosomal RNA, 685 nt
Filed under: Bacillus sp. (in: firmicutes)
Lineage: Bacteria; Bacillati; Bacillota; Bacilli; Caryophanales; Bacillaceae
Description: bacterial SSU rRNA
Source: RNAcentral